Molecule: ribosomal RNA, 482 nt
Filed under: uncultured bacterium
Lineage: Bacteria
Description: partial 16S ribosomal RNA
Rfam family: Bacterial small subunit ribosomal RNA
Source: RNAcentral
AUUGAACGCUGGCGGCAUGCUUUACACAUGCAAGUCGAACGGUAACAGGCCGCAAGGUGCUGACGAGUGGCGAACGGGUGAGUAAUGCAUCGGAACGUGCCCAGUCGUGGGGGAUAACUACUCGAAAGAGUAGCUAAUACCGCAUACGAUCUAUGGAUGAAAGCGGGGGACCGUAAGGCCUCGCGCGAUUGGAGCGGCCGAUGUCAGAUUAGGUAGUUGGUGGGGUAAAGGCUCACCAAGCCAACGAUCUGUAGCUGGUCUGAGAGGACGACCAGACACACUGGGAGUGAGACACGGCCCAGACUCCUACGGGAGGAAGCAGUGGGGAAUUUUGGACGAAGGGGGCAAGCCUGAUCCAGCAAUGCCGCGUGCAGGAAGAAGGACUUCGGGUUGUAAACUGCUUUUGUACGGAAGGAAACGGCUCUGGUUAAUACGCGGGGCUAAUGACGGUACCGUAAGAAGAAGCACCGGCUAACUACGUG